CGUAUCUCUGUGAAAUCCAGCAGAGAAGAAGGAAGAAAUCUCUACUUGUCUCUCCUUCCCACCCAAAUUUAGAUUUAUAGGAAAAACAUAUUGAUUUGCAUGACUGGUCUCUAGAUGUGUCAACUUUCAUGUAUUUUCAGUAUAAAUAUUCAUUUGUUUGUUUCCUUUCCUUCCAGAAAUAGUGUCUGUUUUCCUGUUUCUCCUGCGUGAUUUUGGCAUAAAGAGAACUCCAGAGGAGAUCUGUUAUCAAACAAGUAGCUGUGUACAAAGACUAGUCUGUGACAUCAGUCUUUUGGAAAGAGAGUCCUUAUGUGUGUGGCUGACAGCGAAGGUGACAGGACUUAUGACUCAAAUUUGUCUCUCCAACCAGGGAUCUGGGAAAGUUUAUGGGACCAGUAGGAAAAGGAGGUAUACAUAACCACUGGUGAGGUUCGUGUCUCAAAUCCACGAAGUACGAGGAGCAUGGACAAGGAAGAGUGUGUAAAGCAGGAGUGGUUUAUUGAAAGAAAGCAGAGAAUGCAAAAGUGAAAGAGAAGCUCCCAGUGGCACCAAGAGGGGUCCUAGAAGCUCAAGGUCUCUUGGAGCUACCAGCUCUGCCAAUUGAGCACUCAGGCUAUGAGAGGAAUGAAAGCUCUUGAUAGUGUUAUCUAAGGCAACUAUGGCACAUCCAGUGUGGCAGGUUCUUUG
Molecule: non-coding RNA, 687 nt
Organism: Oryctolagus cuniculus (rabbit)
Lineage: Eukaryota; Metazoa; Chordata; Mammalia; Lagomorpha; Leporidae
Source: RefSeq, a predicted model, not a curated record